GUUUUAAUAGUUUAAAAUAAAACUUUGGUCUUGUAAACCAAUAAUGAACUUUUUGUUUCUUAAAACU
RNAcentral lists this transfer RNA (67 nucleotides) under Cranuca inversa. RNAcentral's name for it is "tRNA-Thr". It matches the Rfam family "tRNA". From Rfam's summary of the family: Transfer RNA (tRNA) molecules are approximately 80 nucleotides in length. Their secondary structure includes four short double-helical elements and three loops (D, anti-codon, and T loops). Lineage: Eukaryota; Metazoa; Arthropoda; Malacostraca; Decapoda; Ocypodidae. The record is from RNAcentral.